Molecule: non-coding RNA, 26 nt
Filed under: Mus musculus (house mouse)
Lineage: Eukaryota; Metazoa; Chordata; Mammalia; Rodentia; Muridae
Source: RNAcentral
UCCAAGGACAUUGUCUACUUAAUAUG